GCCUUUGUGGAUCAGUGGUUGAUCACCUUGAAUGUUUAGCGUCGCGUAUUCCUAUAUCGAGGAAACGUGGGUUCGACUCCCACCUGAGGCA
Molecule: non-coding RNA, 91 nt
Organism: Mycena epipterygia
Lineage: Eukaryota; Fungi; Basidiomycota; Agaricomycetes; Agaricales; Mycenaceae
Source: the annotation of a GenBank genome assembly